RNAcentral lists this ribosomal RNA (468 nucleotides) under uncultured bacterium. Its description in RNAcentral is "partial 16S ribosomal RNA". It matches the Rfam family "Bacterial small subunit ribosomal RNA", at positions 28 to 507 of the family's 1533-position model. The record is from RNAcentral.
GACGAACGCUGGCGGCGUGCUUAACACAUGCAAGUCGAACGGAAAGGCCCUGCUUUUGUGGUGUGCUCGAGUGGCGAACGGGUGAGUAACACGUGAGUAACCUGCCCUUGACUUUGGGAUAACUUCAGUAAACUGGGGCUAAUACCGGAUAGGAGCUCCUGCUGCAUGGUGGGGGUUGGAUAGUUUCGGCGGUUGGGGAUGGACUCGCGGCUUUUCAGCUUGUUGGUGGGGUAGUGGCUUACCAAGGCUUUGACGGGUAGCCGGCCUGCGAGGGUUACCGGACAAAUUGGGACUGAGAUAAGGCCCAGACUACUAAGGGAGGCAGCAGUGGGGAAUAUUGCACAAUGGGCGGAAGCCUGAUGCAGCAACGCAGCGUGCGGGAUGACGGCCUUCGGGUUGUAAACCGAUUUCGCCUGUGACGAAGAGUGAGUGACGGUAAUGGGUAAAGAAGCACCGGCUAACUACGUG